RNAcentral lists this ribosomal RNA (165 nucleotides) under Malus toringoides. RNAcentral's name for it is "5.8S ribosomal RNA". The stretch from base 3 to 150 matches the Rfam family "5.8S ribosomal RNA". From Rfam's summary of the family: 5.8S ribosomal RNA (5.8S rRNA) is a component of the large subunit of the eukaryotic ribosome. It is transcribed by RNA polymerase I as part of the 45S precursor that also contains 18S and 28S rRNA. Lineage: Eukaryota; Viridiplantae; Streptophyta; Magnoliopsida; Rosales; Rosaceae. The record is from RNAcentral.
CGGCAACGGAUAUCUCGGCUCUCGCAUCGACGAAGAACGUAGCGAAAUGCGAUACUUGGUGUGAAUUGCAGAAUCCCGUGAACCAUCGAGUCUUUGAACGCAAGUUGCGCCCGAAGCCAUCAGGCCGAGGGCACGCCUGCCUGGGCGUCACACGCCGUUGCCCCC